UAGCGGCGGACGGGUGAGUAACACGUGGGCAACCUGCCUGUAAGACUGGGAUAACUCCGGGAAACCGGGGCUAAUACCGGAUAAUAUCUAUUUAUACAUAUAAUUAGAUUGAAAGAUGGUUCUGCUAUCACUUACAGAUGGGCCCGCGGCGCAUUAGCUAGUUGGUGAGGUAACGGCUCACCAAGGCGACGAUGCGUAGCCGACCUGAGAGGGUGAUCGGCCACACUGGGACUGAGACACGGCCCAGACUCCUACGGGAGGCAGCAGUAGGGAAUCUUCCGCAAUGGACGAAAGUCUGACGGAGCAACGCCGCGUGAGUGAUGAAGGUUUUCGGAUCGUAAAACUCUGUUGUUAGGGAAGAACAAGUACCGGAGUAACUGCCGGUACCUUGACGGUACCUAACCAGAAAGCCACGGCUAACUACGUGCCAGCAGCCGCGGUAAUACGUAGGUGGCAAGCGUUGUCCGGAAUUAUUGGGCGUAAAGCGCGCGCAGGCGGUUCCUUAAGUCUGAUGUGAAAGCCCACGGCUCAACCGUGGAGGGUCAUUGGAAACUGGGGAACUUGAGUGCAGAAGAGGAAAGUGGAAUUCCAAGUGUAGCGGUGAAAUGCGUAGAG
Molecule: ribosomal RNA, 615 nt
Filed under: Bacillus sp. M02
Lineage: Bacteria; Bacillati; Bacillota; Bacilli; Caryophanales; Bacillaceae
Description: bacterial SSU rRNA
Rfam family: Bacterial small subunit ribosomal RNA
Source: RNAcentral